GUGGGGAAUAUUGGGCAAUGGGGGCAACCCUGACCCAGCGACGCCGCGUGAGGGAAGACGGCCUUCGGGUUGUAAACCUCUUUUGUACGGGAAGAAGGAAGUGACGGUACUGUACGAAUAAGUCCCGGCUAACUACGUGCCAGCAGCCGCGGUAAUACGUAGGGGACGAGCGUUGUCCGGAAUUACUGGGCGUAAAGGGCGCGCAGGCUGUGCUGCAAGUCAGCUGUGAAAUGUCUGGGCUUAACCCGGGCAUGCGGUUGAGACUGCAGUGCUGGAGUGCUGUAGAGGCAAGUGGAAUUCCCAGUGUAGCGGUGAAAUGCGUAGAUAUUGGGAAGAACACCGGUGGCGAAGGCGACUUGCUGGGCAGCAACUGACGCUGAGGCGCGAAAGCCAGGGGAGCAAACGGGAUUAGAUACCCUUGUAGUCC
RNAcentral lists this ribosomal RNA (427 nucleotides) under uncultured bacterium. RNAcentral's name for it is "partial 16S ribosomal RNA". It matches the Rfam family "Bacterial small subunit ribosomal RNA", at positions 354 to 796 of the family's 1533-position model. The record is from RNAcentral.